CUGGCGGGUGCUUACCUGCAAGUCGAACGGACCGCAAGGUCAGUGGCGGACGGGUGCGUAACACGUAGGUGACCUGCCCUGGAGUGGGGAAUAAUUCCGCGAAAGCGGGACUAAUACCGCAUACGCAGCGUGGUUCAGUUCACGUUGUAAAGUCGACGCGCAAGCGGAGAUGCUUCAGGAUGGGCCUGCGGCGGAUUAGCUAGUUGGUGGGGUAACGGCCUACCAAGGCGAUGACCCGUAGGGGGCGUGAGAGCGUGACCCCCCACAUUGGCACUGAGACACGGGCCAAACUCCUACGGGAGGCAGCAGUGAGGAAUAUUGCGCAAUGGGCGAAAGCCUGACGCAGCAACGCCGCGUGAGGGACGAAGGCCUUCGGGUCGUAAACCUCUUUUCUGAGGGACGAGACCAGGACGGUACCUCAGGAAUAAGUCUCGGCUAACUACGUGCCAGCAGCCGCGGUAAAACGUAGGAGGCGAGCGUUAUCCGGAUUUACUGGGCGUAAAGGGUGUGCAGGCGGGCCGUUAAGUGGUGCAUGAAAGCCGAGGGCUCAACCCUCGGAGGCUGUGCCAGACUGGCGGGCUAGAGUGCGGGAGAGGGCUGUGGAAUUCCGGGUGUAGUGGUGAAAUGCGUAGAGAUCCGGAGGAACACCAGAGGCGAAGGCGGCAGCCUGGUCCGCAACUGACGCUGAGACACGACAGCAUGGGGAGCGAACGGGAUUAGAAACCCCGGUAGUCCAUGCCGUAAACGAUGACUGCUGGGCGUCGGAUGGCUAACACCGUUCGGG
Molecule: ribosomal RNA, 784 nt
Filed under: uncultured Chloroflexota bacterium
Lineage: Bacteria; Bacillati; Chloroflexota
Description: bacterial SSU rRNA
Rfam family: Bacterial small subunit ribosomal RNA
Source: RNAcentral